Molecule: ribosomal RNA, 117 nt
Filed under: Nitrospirota bacterium
Lineage: Bacteria; Pseudomonadati; Nitrospirota
Also listed under: 1 other name
Source: RNAcentral
UCCGGUGGCGAUGCCGAAGGGGUAACACCCGUUCUUAUUCCGAAUACGGAAGUAAAGCCCUUCAGGGCCGAUGAUACCAUGACCGCAAGGUCAUGGGAAAGCAGGACGCUGCUGGAU